UCCACUAAACCAUCUCCAUGCAUGGGAAGC
RNAcentral lists this non-coding RNA (30 nucleotides) under Homo sapiens (human). The record is from RNAcentral. Lineage: Eukaryota; Metazoa; Chordata; Mammalia; Primates; Hominidae.